RNAcentral lists this ribosomal RNA (610 nucleotides) under Saccharomyces sp. RNAcentral describes it as "partial large subunit ribosomal RNA". It matches the Rfam family "Eukaryotic large subunit ribosomal RNA", at positions 37 to 659 of the family's 3401-position model. Lineage: Eukaryota; Fungi; Ascomycota; Saccharomycetes; Saccharomycetales; Saccharomycetaceae. The record is from RNAcentral.
UGCCAUAUCCAAUAAGCGGAGGAAAAGAAACCAACCGGGAUUGCCUUAGUAACGGCGAGUGAAGCGGCAAAAGCUCAAAUUUGAAAUCUGGUACCUUUGGUGCCCGAGUUGUAAUUUGGAGAGGGCAACUUUGGGACCGUUCCUUGUCUAUGUUCCUUGGAACAGGACGUCAUAGAGGGUGAGAAUCCCGUGUGGCGAGGAGUGCGGUUCUAUGUAAAGUGCCUUCGAAGAGUCGAGUUGUUUGGGAAUGCAGCUCUAAGUGGGUGGUAAAUUCCAUCUAAAGCUAAAUAUUGGCGAGAGACCGAUAGCGAACAAGUACAGUGAUGGAAAGAUGAAAAGAACUUUGAAAAGAGAGUGAAAAAGUACGUGAAAUUGUUGAAAGGGAAGGGCAUUUGAUCAGACAUGGUGUUUUGCGCCCUCUGCUCCUUGUGGGUGGGGGAAUCUCGCAGUUCACUGGGCCAGCAUCAGUUUUGGUGGCAGGAUAAAUCCGUAGGAAUGUAACUUGCUUCGGGAAGUAUUAUAGCCUAUGGGAAUACUGCCAGCUGGGACUGAGGACUGCGACGUAAGUCAAGGAUGCUGGCAUAAUGGUUAUAUGCCGCCCGUCUUGAAA